AAAAGGUCCUCAAACAUCAACGCCAAUGAAGAGAGGUGUUUGGCACGCAGACACCAUAUCAAGCAUUGGAUCAAGUGAUACAGACGAGCAAGCAGACAAGGCAACAUCGGAACUUGCAAAAGCAGACACAACAAAGCCUCAUGGAUUGGCUGAACUUGAAUGGAGCCUAACUGAGAUGAGCAUUGAUGAUGAACAACAUGUUGAUGAAGGAGCCAUCAAUGAUCUGAGAAAUAGCAUGUGAGUAUGAAUUUGGUAUUUUUCUUCAUUGUGGGGAAUUGUAACGUGUGCUAGUAAUUA
Molecule: long non-coding RNA, 297 nt
Organism: Melanotaenia boesemani (Boeseman's rainbowfish)
Lineage: Eukaryota; Metazoa; Chordata; Actinopteri; Atheriniformes; Melanotaeniidae
Exons: 3
Source: RefSeq, a predicted model, not a curated record